CCUACGGGUGGGCAGCAGUGGGGAAUAUUGGACAAUGGGCGAAAGCCUGAUCCAGCCAUGCCGCGUGUGUGAAGAAGGCCUUCGGGUUGUAAAGCACUUUCAGUGGGGAAGAAAGCCUUGGGGCUAAUACCCUCGAGGAAGGACAUCACCCACAGAAGAAGCACCGGCUAACUCCGUGCCAGCAGCCGCGGUAAUACGGAGGGUGCGAGCGUUAAUCGGAAUUACUGGGCGUAAAGCGCGCGUAGGCGGUCUGAUAAGCCGGUUGUGAAAGCCCCGGGCUCAACCUGGGAACGGCAUCCGGAACUGUCAGGCUAGAGUGCAGGAGAGGAAGGUAGAAUUCCCGGUGUAGCGGUGAAAUGCGUAGAGAUCGGGAGGAAUACCAGUGGCGAAGGCGGCCUUCUGGACUGACACUGACGCUGAGGUGCGAAAGCGUGGGUAGCAAACAGGAUUAGAUACCCCUGUAGUC
RNAcentral lists this ribosomal RNA (466 nucleotides) under Vreelandella stevensii. RNAcentral describes it as "partial 16S ribosomal RNA". It matches the Rfam family "Bacterial small subunit ribosomal RNA", at positions 338 to 795 of the family's 1533-position model. Lineage: Bacteria; Pseudomonadati; Pseudomonadota; Gammaproteobacteria; Oceanospirillales; Halomonadaceae. The record is from RNAcentral.